This 1878-nucleotide ribosomal RNA is filed under the name human oral metagenome. RNAcentral's name for it is "bacterial LSU rRNA". It matches the Rfam family "Bacterial large subunit ribosomal RNA", at positions 1024 to 2925 of the family's 2925-position model. The record is from RNAcentral.
AGCCCAGACCGUCAGCUAAGGUCCCAAAAUAUAGGUUAAGUGGAAAAGGAUGUGGGGUUGCACAGACAGCUAGGAUGUUGGCUUAGAAGCAGCCAUUCAUUCAAAGAGUGCGUAAUAGCUCACUAGUCGAGUGACCCUGCGCCGAAGAUAAACGGGGCUAAAACCUAUUACCGAAGCUACGGAUACUUAAUGUAUGGUAGAGGAGCGUCGUAUACGGGUUGAAGCAGUACUGUAAGGUAUUGUGGACUUUAUACGAGAGAGAAUGUUGGCAUGAGUAGCGCGAGGCAGGUGAGAAUCCUGCCCACCGAAAAUCUAAGGUUUCCUGAGGAAGGUUCGUCCACUCAGGGUUAGUCGGGGCCUAAGCCGAGGGCGAAAGCCAUAGGCGAUGGAUAACAGGUAGAAAUUCCUGUACCACCGAAGGUUGUUUGAAUGAUGUGGGGACACAGGAGGAUAAGCUGAGCACGCCGUUGGUAGAGCGUGUCCAAGCGUCAAGGGAGUAUGAAUAGGCAAAUCCGUUCAUAUAUAUUCUGAGGCGUGAUGGGGUGGUCAAUAGACUGGAAGCAGCUGAUUUCACACUGUCAAGAAAAGCCGCUAAUUAGACCUAAGGUGCCCGUACCGCAAACCGACACAGGUAGAUGAGGAGAGAAUCCUAAGGUGAGCGAGAGAACUAUUGUUAAGGAACUCGGCAAAAUAACCCCGUAACUUCGGGAGAAGGGGUGCCUGCUUCGGCAGGCCGCAGUGAAAAGGCCCAGGCAACUGUUUACCAAAAACACAGGUCUCUGCAAAAGCGAAAGCUGAAGUAUAGGGGCUGACGCCUGCCCAGUGCUGGAAGGUUAAGGUGAAGUGUAAGGGUAACCGAAGCACAGAACUUAAGCCCCAGUAAACGGCGGCCGUAACUAUAACGGUCCUAAGGUAGCGAAAUUCCUUGUCAGGUAAGUUCUGACCCGCACGAAAGGCGUAACGAUCUGGGCACUGUCUCAACAAUAGACUCGGUGAAAUUGUAGUACCGGUAAAGAUGCCGGUUACCCGCAGCAGGACGGAAAGACCCCGUGGAGCUUUACUGUAACUUGAUAUUGAGUUUCGGUGUUAUGCGUACAGGAUAGGUGGGAGACUAUGAAUCUGGAGCGCCAGUUUCAGAGGAGUCACUGUUGGGAUACCACCCUUGUAGCAUUGGAAUUCUAACCCGGUAGCAUCAUCUGCUACGGGGACAGUGUCUGGUGGACAGUUUGACUGGGGCGGUCGCCUCCUAAAGAGUAACGGAGGCGCCCAAAGGUUCCCUCAGCGCGGACGGAAAUCGCGCAUAGAGUGCAAAGGCAGAAGGGAGCUUGACUGCGAGACCAACAAGUCGAGCAGGGACGAAAGUCGGGCUUAGUGAUCCGGUGGUACCGAGUGGAAGGGCCAUCGCUCAACGGAUAAAAGCUACCCCGGGGAUAACAGGCUUAUCUCCCCCAAGAGUUCACAUCGACGGGGAGGUUUGGCACCUCGAUGUCGGCUCGUCUCAUCCUGGGGCUGGAGUAGGUCCCAAGGGUUGGGCUGUUCGCCCAUUAAAGAGGUACGCGAGCUGGGUUCAGAACGUCGUGAGACAGUUCGGUCCCUAUCCGCUGUGGGCGUUGGAAAUUUGAGUGGAGCUGUUCCUAGUACGAGAGGACCGGAAUGGACAUACCUAUGGUGUACCGGUUGUUCUGCCAAGGGCAUAGCCGGGUAGCUAAGUAUGGAAAGGAUAAGCGCUGAAAGCAUCUAAGUGCGAAGCCAACCACAAGAUAAGAUUUCCUCCAGCAAUGGUAAGACCCGUGAGAGACUAUCACGUUGAUAGGUCGGAGGUGUAAGUGCAGUAAUGUAUUUAGCUGACCGAUACUAAUAGGUCGAACGCUUGACCAA